UCCUUCCUCACUGGAGAGAGGCUGCCCCGGCGGCAGCCCACCGAAGGGGCAAGGCCUGCCGAUCCGCACGCGGAACGAGGGCAGCGCCGAAUCUCUCAGGUAAAGCGGACAGCGAGGGCAGC
Molecule: non-coding RNA, 122 nt
Filed under: Rubrivivax sp.
Lineage: Bacteria; Pseudomonadati; Pseudomonadota; Betaproteobacteria; Burkholderiales; Sphaerotilaceae
Description: Glycine sequence
Rfam family: Glycine riboswitch aptamer
About the family: This family represents the bacterial glycine riboswitch. Glycine riboswitches usually consist of two metabolite-binding aptamers domains with similar structures in tandem.
Source: RNAcentral